Molecule: long non-coding RNA, 621 nt
Filed under: Homo sapiens (human)
Lineage: Eukaryota; Metazoa; Chordata; Mammalia; Primates; Hominidae
Description: HSALNT0317058
Source: RNAcentral
GUCAGGGCUGAUGGGGGAAGCAAACUCAUCAGGAUGCUGAUGGUGGUGUCAAAUGCAGAAGAUGAGAGAGUAGGGUGAGGAUGAGGGGCAUAGCAGAUCUGCCAGAAGAGGAGUAUUAUUGGAGAGACGGGGUUUCACCAUAUUGGGCAGGCUGGUCUCGAACUCCUGACCUCAAGCGAUCCACCCGCCUUGACCUCUCGAAGUUCUGGGAUUACAACUGUGAACCACUGCACCCGGCCCAUAAGGAUUGUUUUAGAUGGAAAAAUUCUAUAAAGAGAAAAUUCCACCUCCUCUACUGUUAGUGGUGAAGCUCACAUAAGAAAGAGCCAGCUGAGAGUCUGUCAAGGGGAGACCCAAAACCAGAGAAACUCCUUUUCUUCUUUGUCUCAAUCACAUCAUUUUCUAGGGACACCAAUUCAUCAAGAAGCAAGAGUUUUGCUGUCAGUUCCUCCUGCAUUCAUUCUUCCUGCUGCCUUGUGAAGAAGGUGCCUUGCUUCCCCUUUGCCUUCCACCAUGAUUGUAAGUUUAACGAGGACUCCCCAGCCAUGCAGAACUGUUCACAACCUUGAAUGGCAUGUUGGCAAUAAAAAGAAGACAAUAAAAAACUACCGAUUUUCUUGA